UACGUAGGGUGCAAGCGUUGUCCGGAAUUAUUGGGCGUAAAGAGCUCGUAGGCUGUCUGUUGCGUCGGCUGUGAAAACCCGGGGCUCAACCCCGGGCCUGCAGCCGAUACGGGCAGACUAGAGUUCGGCAGGGGAGACUGGAAUUCCUGGUGUAGCGGUGAAAUGCGCAGAUAUCAGGAGGAACACCGGUGGCGAAGGCGGGUCUCUGGGCCGAUACUGACGCUGAGGAGCGAAAGCGUGGGGAGCGAACAGG
Molecule: ribosomal RNA, 253 nt
Filed under: uncultured bacterium
Lineage: Bacteria
Description: partial 16S ribosomal RNA
Rfam family: Bacterial small subunit ribosomal RNA
Source: RNAcentral